GGGUUGUGAGGUUAAGCGACUAAGCGUACACGGUGGAUGCCCUGGCAGUCAGAGGCGAUGAAGGACGUGCUAAUCUGCGAUAAGCGUCGGUAAGGUGAUAUGAACCGUUAUAACCGGCGAUUUCCGAAUGGGGAAACCCAGUGUGUUUCGACACACUAUCAUUAACUGAAUCCAUAGGUUAAUGAGGCGAACCGGGGGAACUGAAACAUCUAAGUACCCCGAGGAAAAGAAAUCAACCGAGAUUCCCCCAGUAGCGGCGAGCGAACGGGGAGCAGCCCAGAGCCUGAAUCAGUGUGUGUGUUAGUGGAAGCGUCUGGAAAGGCGCGCGAUACAGGGUGACAGCCCCGUACACAAAAAUGCACAUGCUGUGAGCUCGAUGAGUAGGGCGGGACACGUGGUAUCCUGUCUGAAUAUGGGGGGACCAUCCUCCAAGGCUAAAUACUCCUGACUGACCGAUAGUGAACCAGUACCGUGAGGGAAAGGCGAAAAGAACCCCGGCGAGGGGAGUGAAAAAGAACCUGAAACCGUGUACGUACAAGCAGUGGGAGCACAGAGCAAUCUGUGUGACUGCGUACCUUUUGUAUAAUGGGUCAGCGACUUAUAUUCUGUAGCAAGGUUAACCGAAUAGGGGAGCCGAAGGGAAACCGAGUCUUAACUGGGCGUUAAGUUGCAGGGUAUAGACCCGAAACCCGGUGAUCUAGCCAUGGGCAGGUUGAAGGUUGGGUAACACUAACUGGAGGACCGAACCGACUAAUGUUGAAAAAUUAGCGGAUGACUUGUGGCUGGGGGUGAAAGGCCAAUCAAACCGGGAGAUAGCUGGUUCUCCCCGAAAGCUAUUUAGGUAGCGCCUCGUGAAUUCAUCUCCGGGGGUAGAGCACUGUUUCGGCAAGGGGGUCAUCCCGACUUACCAACCCGAUGCAAACUGCGAAUACCGGAGAAUGUUAUCACGGGAGACACACGGCGGGUGCUAACGUCCGUCGUGAAGAGGGAAACAACCCAGACCGCCAGCUAAGGUCCCAAAGUCAUGGUUAAGUGGGAAACGAUGUGGGAAGGCCCAGACAGCCAGGAUGUUGGCUUAGAAGCAGCCAUCAUUUAAAGAAAGCGUAAUAGCUCACUGGUCGAGUCGGCCUGCGCGGAAGAUGUAACGGGGCUAAACCAUGCACCGAAGCUGCGGCAGCGACGCUUAUGCGUUGUUGGGUAGGGGAGCGUUCUGUAAGCCUGCGAAGGUGUGCUGUGAGGCAUGCUGGAGGUAUCAGAAGUGCGAAUGCUGACAUAAGUAACGAUAAAGCGGGUGAAAAGCCCGCUCGCCGGAAGACCAAGGGUUCCUGUCCAACGUUAAUCGGGGCAGGGUGAGUCGACCCCUAAGGCGAGGCCGAAAGGCGUAGUCGAUGGGAAACAGGUUAAUAUUCCUGUACUUGGUGUUACUGCGAAGGGGGGACGGAGAAGGCUAUGUUGGCCGGGCGACGGUUGUCCCGGUUUAAGCGUGUAGGCUGGUUUUCCAGGCAAAUCCGGAAAAUCAAGGCUGAGGCGUGAUGACGAGGCACUACGGUGCUGAAGCAACAAAUGCCCUGCUUCCAGGAAAAGCCUCUAAGCAUCAGGUAACAUCAAAUCGUACCCCAAACCGACACAGGUGGUCAGGUAGAGAAUACCAAGGCGCUUGAGAGAACUCGGGUGAAGGAACUAGGCAAAAUGGUGCCGUAACUUCGGGAGAAGGCACGCUGAUAUGUAGGUGAAGUCCCUCGCGGAUGGAGCUGAAAUCAGUCGAAGAUACCAGCUGGCUGCAACUGUUUAUUAAAAACACAGCACUGUGCAAACACGAAAGUGGACGUAUACGGUGUGACGCCUGCCCGGUGCCGGAAGGUUAAUUGAUGGGGUUAGCGCAAGCGAAGCUCUUGAUCGAAGCCCCGGUAAACGGCGGCCGUAACUAUAACGGUCCUAAGGUAGCGAAAUUCCUUGUCGGGUAAGUUCCGACCUGCACGAAUGGCGUAAUGAUGGCCAGGCUGUCUCCACCCGAGACUCAGUGAAAUUGAACUCGCUGUGAAGAUGCAGUGUACCCGCGGCAAGACGGAAAGACCCCGUGAACCUUUACUAUAGCUUGACACUGAACAUUGAGCCUUGAUGUGUAGGAUAGGUGGGAGGCUUUGAAGUGUGGACGCCAGUCUGCAUGGAGCCGACCUUGAAAUACCACCCUUUAAUGUUUGAUGUUCUAACGUGGACCCGUGAUCCGGGUUGCGGACAGUGUCUGGUGGGUAGUUUGACUGGGGCGGUCUCCUCCUAAAGAGUAACGGAGGAGCACGAAGGUUGGCUAAUCCUGGUCGGACAUCAGGAGGUUAGUGCAAUGGCAUAAGCCAGCUUGACUGCGAGCGUGACGGCGCGAGCAGGUGCGAAAGCAGGUCAUAGUGAUCCGGUGGUUCUGAAUGGAAGGGCCAUCGCUCAACGGAUAAAAGGUACUCCGGGGAUAACAGGCUGAUACCGCCCAAGAGUUCAUAUCGACGGCGGUGUUUGGCACCUCGAUGUCGGCUCAUCACAUCCUGGGGCUGAAGUAGGUCCCAAGGGUAUGGCUGUUCGCCAUUUAAAGUGGUACGCGAGCUGGGUUUAGAACGUCGUGAGACAGUUCGGUCCCUAUCUGCCGUGGGCGCUGGAGAACUGAGGGGGGCUGCUCCUAGUACGAGAGGACCGGAGUGGACGCAUCACUGGUGUUCGGGUUGUCAUGCCAAUGGCACUGCCCGGUAGCUAAAUGCGGAAGAGAUAAGUGCUGAAAGCAUCUAAGCACGAAACUUGCCCCGAGAUGAGUUCUCCCUGACUCCUUGAGAGUCCUGAAGGAACGUUGAAGACGACGACGUUGAUAGGCCGGGUGUGUAAGCGCAGCGAUGCGUUGAGCUAACCGGUACUAAUGAACCGUGAGGCUUAACCUUACAACGCCGAAGCUGUU
RNAcentral lists this ribosomal RNA (2932 nucleotides) under Escherichia coli. RNAcentral describes it as "23S ribosomal RNA". It matches the Rfam family "Bacterial large subunit ribosomal RNA". Lineage: Bacteria; Pseudomonadati; Pseudomonadota; Gammaproteobacteria; Enterobacterales; Enterobacteriaceae. The record is from RNAcentral.